This 451-nucleotide ribosomal RNA is filed under the name Chaetodon kleinii (sunburst butterflyfish). RNAcentral describes it as "partial small subunit ribosomal RNA". It matches the Rfam family "Bacterial small subunit ribosomal RNA", at positions 788 to 1454 of the family's 1533-position model. The record is from RNAcentral. Lineage: Eukaryota; Metazoa; Chordata; Actinopteri; Chaetodontiformes; Chaetodontidae.
CACUAUGCCCAGCCUUAAACAUUGACAGUUAAUUACACCCACUGUCCGCCCGGGUACUACGAGCGCUAGCUUAAAACCCAAAGGACUUGGCGGUGCUUUAGACCCACCUAGAGGAGCCUGUUCUAGAACCGAUAAUCCCCGUUAAACCUCACCCUUCCUUGUUCUUUCCCGCCUAUAUACCACCGUCGUCAGCUUACCCUGUGAAGGCCCUAUAGUAAGCACAAUCGGCAAUGCCCAAUACGUCAGGUCGAGGUGUAGCGAAUGGAAGGGGAAGAAAUGGGCUACAUUUACUAAUAUAGUAAAUACGGAUGAUCACCCUGCAACGAGUAUCUGAAGGAGGAUUUAGCAGUAAGCAAAAAAUAGAGCGUUUUGCUGAAAUUGGCCCUGAAGCGUGCACACACCGCCCGUCACUCUCCCCGAACUAAGAUCUAAAACAUAACUAAUAUGCUAU